This 208-nucleotide long non-coding RNA is filed under the name Phoenix dactylifera (date palm). RNAcentral's name for it is "long non-coding RNA (PDAC_LNC006743)". Lineage: Eukaryota; Viridiplantae; Streptophyta; Magnoliopsida; Arecales; Arecaceae. The record is from RNAcentral.
GUAAAGACGAUGACAGAUCUGAAGGGUCCAAGUCUGCAAAUAUAGUGAAAGAAGACACAGAGAGCAGUGACGGUGAUAUACUUUCAAUUUCGUCCAGUUCAAAUCAUCUCGCGGAUUCUUGGAUUCUGGAUUCAGCAUGUUCCUAUCACAUGACGCCCAAUAAAGAUUGGUUUGACACCUACAGGUUAGUUAAUUCUGGUUCUGUUUU